GAUCAUGCUCAGGAUGAACGCUAGCUACAGGCUUAACACAUGCAAGUCGAGGGGCAGCAUUUCAGUUUGCUUGCAAACUGAAGAUGGCGACCGGCGCACGGGUGAGUAACACGUAUCCAACCUGCCGAUAACUCCGGGAUAGCCUUUCGAAAGAAAGAUUAAUACCGGAUGGCAUAUGAUUAUCGCAUGAUAAUCCUAUUAAAGAAUUUCGGUUAUCGAUGGGGAUGCG
RNAcentral lists this ribosomal RNA (229 nucleotides) under uncultured bacterium. Its description in RNAcentral is "partial 16S ribosomal RNA". It matches the Rfam family "Bacterial small subunit ribosomal RNA", at positions 15 to 235 of the family's 1533-position model. The record is from RNAcentral.